Molecule: ribosomal RNA, 429 nt
Filed under: Gemmatimonadota bacterium
Lineage: Bacteria; Pseudomonadati; Gemmatimonadota
Description: Gemmatimonadetes bacterium partial 16S ribosomal RNA
Rfam family: Bacterial small subunit ribosomal RNA
Source: RNAcentral
UAGGGAAUCUUCGGCAAUGGACGAAAGUCUGACCGAGCAACGCCGCGUGAGUGAAGAAGGUUUUCGGAUCGUAAAACUCUGUUGUUAGAGAAGAACAAGGACGUUAGUAACUGAACGUCCCCUGACGGUAUCUAACCAGAAAGCCACGGCUAACUACGUGCCAGCAGCCGCGGUAAUACGUAGGUGGCAAGCGUAGUCCGGAUUUAUUGGGCGUAAAGCGAGCGCAGGCGGUUUCUUAAGUCUGAUGUGAAAGCCCCCGGCUCAACCGGGGAGGGUCAUUGGAAACUGGGAGACUUGAGUGCAGAAGGGGAGAGUGGAAUUCCAUGUGUAGCGGUGAAAUGCGUAGAUAUAUGGAGAAACACCAAUGGCGAAGGCGGCUCUCUGGUCUGUAACUGACGCUGAGGCUCGAAAGCGUGGGGAGCAAACAGG